UGAGGAAUAUUGGUCAAUGGGCGGAAGCCUGAACCAGCCAAGUAGCGUGAGGGAAGACUGCCCUACGGGUUGUAAACCUCUUUUGUUUGGGAAUAAAGUGCGGGACGCGUCCCGCAUUGCAUGUACCAUUUGAAUAAGGACCGGCUAAUUCCGUGCCAGCAGCCGCGGUAAUACGGAAGGUCCGGGCGUUAUCCGGAUUUAUUGGGUUUAAAGGGAGCACAGGCCGGCUGUCAAGCGUGUUGUGAAAUGUAGGGGCUCAACCUCUGAACUGCAGCGCGAACUGACGGUCUUGAGUGCGCACAACGUUGGCGGAAUUCGUCGUGUAGCGGUGAAAUGCUUAGAUAUGACGAAGAACUCCGAUUGCGAAGGCAGCUGACGGGAGCGUUACUGACGCUUAAGCUCGAAAGUGCGGGUAUCGAACAGGAUUAGAUACCCUGGUAGU
RNAcentral lists this ribosomal RNA (442 nucleotides) under uncultured Prevotella sp. RNAcentral describes it as "bacterial SSU rRNA". It matches the Rfam family "Bacterial small subunit ribosomal RNA", at positions 355 to 794 of the family's 1533-position model. Lineage: Bacteria; Pseudomonadati; Bacteroidota; Bacteroidia; Bacteroidales; Prevotellaceae. The record is from RNAcentral.